RNAcentral lists this ribosomal RNA (253 nucleotides) under uncultured bacterium. RNAcentral's name for it is "partial 16S ribosomal RNA". It matches the Rfam family "Bacterial small subunit ribosomal RNA", at positions 524 to 776 of the family's 1533-position model. The record is from RNAcentral.
UACGUAGGGUGCAAGCGUUGUCCGGAAUUAUUGGGCGUAAAGAGCGUGUAGGCGGCCCGAUUAGUCCGCUGUGAAAGUCCAGGGCUCAACCCUGGAAUGCCGGUGGAUACUGUCGGGCUAGAGUCCGGAAGGGGCGAGUGGAAUUCCUGGUGUAGCGGUGAAAUGCGUAGAUAUCAGGAGGAACACCGGUGGUGUAGACGGCUUUCUGGACCGUAACUGACGCUGAGACACGAAAGCGUGGGUAGCAAACAGG